RNAcentral lists this ribosomal RNA (349 nucleotides) under uncultured Pseudomonas sp. Its description in RNAcentral is "bacterial SSU rRNA". It matches the Rfam family "Bacterial small subunit ribosomal RNA", at positions 447 to 793 of the family's 1533-position model. The record is from RNAcentral. Lineage: Bacteria; Pseudomonadati; Pseudomonadota; Gammaproteobacteria; Pseudomonadales; Pseudomonadaceae.
GCCCUAAGUUAAUACCUUGCUGUUUUGACGUUACCAACGGAAUAAGCACCGGCUAACUUCGUGCCAGCAGCCGCGGUAAUACGAAGGGUGCAAGCGUUAAUCGGAAUUACUGGGCGUAAAGCGCGCGUAGGUGGUUCAGCAAGUUGGAUGUGAAAUCCCCGGGCUCAACCUGGGAACUGCAUCCAAAACUACUGAGCUAGAGUACGGUAGAGGGUGGUGGAAUUUCCUGUGUAGCGGUGAAAUGCGUAGAUAUAGGAAGGAACACCAGUGGCGAAGGCGACCACCUGGACUGAUACUGACACUGAGGUGCGAAAGCGUGGGGAGCAAACAGGAUUAGAUACCCCAGUAG